AGCGAACGCUGGCGGCAGGCCUAACACAUGCAAGUCGAACGAUCCUUCGGGAUAGUGGCGGACGGGUGAGUAACACGUGGGAACGUGCCCUUUGGUUCGGAACAACUCAGGGAAACUUGAGCUAAUACCGAAUGUGCCCUUCGGGGGAAAGAUUUAUCGCCAUCGGAGCGGCCCGCGUCUGAUUAGCUAGUUGGUGAGGUAAUGGCUCACCAAGGCGACGAUCAGUAGCUGGUCUGAGAGGAUGAUCAGCCACACUGGGACUGAGACACGGCCCAGACUCCUACGGGAGGCAGCAGUGGGGAAUCUUGCGCAAUGGGCGAAAGCCUGACGCAGCCAUGCCGCGUGAAUGAUGAAGGUCUUAGGAUUGUAAAAUUCUUUCACCGGGGACGAUAAUGACGGUACCCGGAGAAGAAGCUCCGGCUAACUUCGUGCCAGCCGCCGCCGUAA
This 447-nucleotide ribosomal RNA is filed under the name uncultured bacterium. Its description in RNAcentral is "partial 16S ribosomal RNA". It matches the Rfam family "Bacterial small subunit ribosomal RNA", at positions 29 to 523 of the family's 1533-position model. The record is from RNAcentral.